UCUCGCGCAGACCCAUUGUCGCCCGCAGCUGACGUCAGCGAUCCCUUGGAAAAGACCCAUCCUUCGCCUCGAGCAAUCAGUAUGGAUUCAUCCGCCACUGCAAAGAAAGAGUUCCUUGAGAAAGCGGGGAAUAAACGAAGACGUGGGCUGGCGGACAAGAACAGCUGCACGAAAAAGAACAUGGGCCCACCCAGAUGCCCAGAUAUUUUACCAUCAGCUCCUUCGAGGAGCAGGCUGAAGGGUUGGCAAGGGAGGCUGUUUCCUGUAGCAGAAAGCUGGCUUAGUGUGUUAAUCAUUCUGGUUUGUCUGUUGGCAGUCAACAUCCUGCUCAGACACUGGGUUAGUGAAGCUUUCUACCUCUGGUAAUAUAUGGUAGUACAGUUGUUGGAUUAGUAAAUCAGAGCAACUUUCAAUUCAAGGCUGGUUCCUGAAGUUAACCUGUCUGAUUUAUUCAUCUUCUUUUCGGGAAGCAGAUCUACCACCCUUGUCUGGUCUGGCCUACAUGUGAUUCCAGACCCACAGCAUGGCCUGUCUUCUCAAAUGGCUGAGUAAGACAAUAGGUUCAAAGGUAAUUGGGUAUAGACAGCCAGUGACUCAUGUGAUCGGAAAACCAAGAAAAUGCAUGCACUUGUCUUCCCAGGCAUCCAGUGUUGCAGUCUCUGAUGAAGUGAUCUACUGUUUCAAUGACAUGAAAGUCAGCAAAUCCUGCAGCCAGGCAGAUUUGAAGAAGAGGAAGGAGGCAGUACUCUUUAAAUUGAAUGAUAGUAAAGAGAAAAUAAUUUUGGACGAUGAAAAGCAGAUUACAGUUGGAGGUGUUGUGAAGGGGAAGGUUUAUGACCAACUCAACAGCUUUAUUAAAAUGCUUCCAUAGAACAAUUGUCACUGUGCCUUCUAUAAUGCAUCCUUCAAGACCAAGGAAACAAAGAAAGAAGAGUGGAUUUUUAUGUGCCGUUCUCAAGAAGGCAUGUGGAACAUGUUGCACAGUGACGUGUGCAACCAAGCCAUGGUAAAUCAACAUGUCACUUUAAAGAUAGCAUGCAUUUGACUUGCUUGAGGAUGCUUCUGUCAAUCGUGAACUCAUAGAUUGCAGCGGUGCGAUUUUUGUACCGUCCCAGUGACAAUGAAGGAAAGGUUGGAACUUUCACAGUUUCCCAUCCCUGUCCAACUUCCUGCACAGAUGUACAUACAAUUUCCUCAAAACUGGGAAGACAAUGGAAUCAGCUUGUCAUUUGAAAUCCACUGCUUUGUGGGUCAUUUGGUUUGACAUCCCUCUUUGUCAAAAUAUGCAUCUGCGAAACACCUUGCGCUGUUUUCAAACUUUAAAUGAGUUAAAUAAAUGCAAUAAAGCCAGAAAAUGCUGGUAACACUCAUCAGGUCAGGCAACAUCUGUGAAGGGAAACAGAAUUAGUAAUUUCAGACUGAGAACCUUUCAUCAGAACUGUUGAUUAAAUGCAGAUCGUAGUGACUGUUAGUGUCUUCAUCAGUUCUCUGGCCACACUGCUUUAAUCAAUCAUUUCCAGGUGGCAAAAACAUCAGAUGUCAAGAUGAGAAUUGUCUAAUGGAAAUGGUAGUGUUAUUACUCUUUAGAUAGUAUUUUCUGGAUUUGAAUCAGUAAUUAUAAAAAAGGAAGAAGUCCUAGGUGAAUAGUUAUGCAUGGCAGGUCUUCAAAGUGCGUUUGGUUACUUAGUUAACAUGAUCUAGUAAUCUAUUGGCACUGAUAUGAAAUAGACAUAAGGACCUAUCCUAGCACAUAAUAUUACAGUCUGCGUUUCAUUGUGAUUGAACUGGCAAGCUCUGGAUAUGUAAUGGGUAUCCCCAGACAUCUCGCCAGAAGACAGACCUUAUAGAUCUCUAUCUGCUGGAAUGUGUGGCCUGUGAGGUUCUAUGAUAAACAUCUAGAAUGCCCAAGGAAAGAAAAAGCUGUCAAAUAUGUAGUUAUUUGCCUCAGUUUCAUAAUUUUAUUUCAUACACUCUCUUCCUGCAUGGAAAUUGUAAAUCUCCUUUUGAAUGCAUUUAUGGUACCAUUACCUAGAGUGUAAUUUUUCCCUUAUUUCGAUAAAGCCACUGACAACUUUGAAAACUCCUGUGCCUCAAGUUAGAUAUCAAUUUGAUGAGUGUUACAACAGUGAAGAACAGGAAGUUGUAAUAUCAAUAAUACCCACUUUCCAUCCAUCACCACUACAAUCCAUCACAACAAACAAACAGAUCAGGUUUUAAUCAAUCAAGCAGUGUAACACAAAAUUGAAUUGCUUAAAAGUUUGAUUUUCUUCUUUGCAAGCAAGUGAAACUGGAUGACAAGUGACAAUGCCUGCUUUAAUUGUCU
Long non-coding RNA from Stegostoma tigrinum, 2323 nucleotides. RefSeq lists it as uncharacterized. The record is from RefSeq and is a predicted model, not a curated record. Lineage: Eukaryota; Metazoa; Chordata; Chondrichthyes; Orectolobiformes; Stegostomatidae. The transcript is spliced from 5 exons.